Non-coding RNA from Lolium perenne, 1101 nucleotides. NCBI's taxonomy places the organism in Eukaryota, Viridiplantae, Streptophyta, Magnoliopsida, Poales, Poaceae. The record is from RefSeq and is a predicted model, not a curated record.
AGAAAUAAUUGGCACUAAACAAUAUGUACCUUCACGGAUGGAACACGUAUUUUAAGCGCGGGGCCUGAAAAAAAUUCAACCCGGUGGCGGUUUCUACUCACGCUCGCGCGUAGCUGAAAAUUUCAUUGUUCUCUACAAGUAGGCCCAUGGAGUAACCAAUCCGUCAUCUACUUCCGUUGACGCCCGUCCCUGCAUGAACUGUGCGAUUACCACCGACCCAUCUAUGAUCCUUAUCCCCUCGUACCAGUUCAUCCUCCCUACCGUUCCGAUCGCUUCCGGCCGCAGCCUCCACCACAUUAGACCGCAGAUCUAGACUCCCCACAAUCUCCCCAGUUCACCUGCAGUUUUGUGCAGCCGCCAUCUGAAACGCGGCCGCUACCUAACCCUAGAUUGCUAACAAUUCGAUAGUGCAGAAGCUCCGGCAGCCGCUGGGCCUCUUUGACCGCCUUCCUUGAGUUUUCAUGCAUCGGAGCCAGGUCCAUGACCCAUGUUCGCUACUUGCUACUCCGUCAACGACGUCUUUACCAAGGUUCAUUCUGCUGGGUGGGGAGCGAAGUCCUUGGCGUUUACAAGUUUUGGUGAGCUUCACCUCUUUCCCGUCUCUGUCCUGUGCCCUUGCAGGUGUAUUUUUGCAGUGAUGCGUUUGAUGUUUCUUUUACUACGCUGGAUGGUACACAGGAAAUGAACAAAAUUGAGCCUGGAACCUGGAUGAUGCGUCGAGGAUGAGCUGACACCUAUGACUAGUGUCCAUUGUCACGAACACCAAACUAGUGGGGAAUAAGCACUUCGUCAGGGAAAACGUACAGCCAUACAGAACGUUAUAUGAUUGGUAUGAAGACAUGGAUGCUGAAAACGAUCAGUUUUCCAUAUGAUUUUCUGGACAGAAAUUAUGUUUAGUGCAAGACCAGAAGAUCAGCAAGGACUUACAAUAUUUGGAUAUAAGCUAUGAACAUAUCUGAAGUUAGAAUAUUAGUAGAAUUAUAUAUAUGAGUUGUUAGAUUGUCAUAUUUUGAAUCAAGAUUGUAAGAUGUGUGUACUCUUCGGAUAAGUCUCAUGUAUUUUGAUAGUGGUUCGAAUAAUAUAAAUCGAAUUGUUUUGUCA